This 309-nucleotide unclassified non-coding RNA is filed under the name fungal sp. Its description in RNAcentral is "partial internal transcribed spacer region". The stretch from base 1 to 46 matches the Rfam family "Eukaryotic small subunit ribosomal RNA", at positions 1786 to 1831 of the family's 1831-position model. The record is from RNAcentral. Lineage: Eukaryota; Fungi.
AAGUCGUAACAAGGUUUCCGUAGGUGAACCUGCGGAAGGAUCAUUCAUGUGAUUUUUCAAACACCCAACUUCUUUGUUAACUAUUAGUUAAAACAAAGGUGCUUUAGUUUCUGUGUUUUUCUUUUGUUGGCUGCGUUUUCUUUCAUCUUCACUCUAUUUUCAAAUGCACUAAAAAAACAUCAAGAAAAUAGGAAAAGAAAUGAUAAAUGCUACCUUUUUUAUACUUUUUAUAAAUUUACCACAAAACAUUUUACCAUAAAAACACCAAAAAUUUAUUACAACUUUUAACGAUGGAUCCCUCGGCUCUCA